CCCAGGGCACUUCUCCACUGGCAAAGGACGGACGCUGUCAAACCUGGCAGAGCAGAGGUCGUGAGUUCGAAACAUGAAUGUUCAAGUUGUACUCGGCAUCUAGAAGUUAUACAAAUCUUAUUGAGUAAUCUAGAAUAAGAAAAAGAAAACGUGUAAAGAUGGGAAUUAGCAAGCGAAGACGUGUAAAGAAGGGAAUUAGCAAGUAUAUAAGGGUCAAUUUAGUGAUUUUGGCUAAAAGCAUUGCUUAACUUUGCCAUUGAAAUUUAUAUUUAAAAUUGUAGGAAGGAAUCGUGCCUGCAAAAGCAAAAGGAGCGCAAGUAUAACUAAUAAAGAAGAGAGAAAAGGAUAAGAAAAUCGUAUUGCCAACUGAACAAACAUUUUCUUCUUCUAACCCAAAUCCAAAUGAGCUUCUUCACUCUCUUUCUCCACCUCUCUCACAAGCACUAUCCGCUUUGUUCAUGCAAGAUCUAAACAACUCACAAUCAAGGUACAUAACAUCUCUCUCUCUCUCUCUCUCUCUCUCUCUCUCUCUCUCUCUCACACACACACACACACACACACUAUAUCAUGAGAAGAAUUGGAUUCAAGUCUCGUCCAACUAACUUAUAAGGGUUUUGAUCGAAAAAUAAGUCGAAGCCGCAUAUGAGAAGGCAAAUUGACACACAUUUAGCAACUUAAGCUUUUUAGACUUUAUGCUUAUGGUUGAUGUGCAAAUACUGCUGCGUGGAUUUUCGAAGUGCGUGCAAUACAAUAACUAUUGUAGUGUGAAUUUGUGAUGCAUUAUAUGCUUGACUCCGAGACCUAAGCUUUAGUUAUAUAGAUAAAAAUAAGUUCAGAUUUUUUAGUAUAUUUUAUAGUUUUUACAAGUUCAAUGACCUGAAUCCUUCAACUAAGCCUCUGUUUGGCAAAUUUAUAAAUGGUAUUCAAAGAGUAAUAGUAAGAUGAAUAGUAAUGAGUCUUACGAAAUAUGGGAUAAUAAUGAGGAAUAAUUAUGAUAUGUGAUUGAAAUUAAUGUUUGACUUUGACUGAAUUUAUAAACGAUACAUAAAAUUGUAUCCAAAUAUUGGAGGCUAAAAUGUCGGAUUUGGCUUUAACAAUUUUUGAUGGAAUCUCGAGAAAUUUAACCGGUUCAACAAGCUAGGACCUAGCCUACACUUGUGGACCUCGUCACGCUCCUCUUUGUUAAUAAGUACACGUUUAAUAUUUCCAAAAGUAGCAAAUUCUACAUUAGGUUCUUCUAUCCAUGUGUGGUGUUGUAGGAAGCCUUGGUACCAAAGAGCAAUGCAAAUGGCCGCACAGUGGAGGCCCUUUCCAAUAUCUGCUGAGAUUUCUACAACAAAUGGCUCGAUUUGGAAAACAACUUCGAAAACAAUAGAAACUUCGACAGCAAAUUCCAAUAAACAGAAGCUCAGAAAAUGCAAAUCUGUAAGAUUGGCAACUUCGUUUACACGAGCUUGUUUAUGUGCUCCAAUCUCUUCUUACCAAGAAGUUUCUCAAACUGAUUUUGCACCAAGAAGAAGUUACAGUUAUCCAAGAUCUUCUUCGAACACUUUUCCAGCCAUCUCACAAGAGAGAACCCCGAGUGCAAGAAUGAGCAUGGAAGGAAGGAGAAUUUUUCGCGGAAAAUCUUUGACAGAUGAUGUUCUAAUGAGGAGAUUUGUUAUUGAAGAAGAAGCAAUGAUGCAAGUUAGAAGAAGGAAUGAGAUGGAAAUUAUUAGGAAGAGAAGUGCUAUGAGAAGAAAAAAACUUGGGCCUAGUCCCUUAAGUAAAAUGGUUGUUUUAGUCGAGAGUGAGGAGGAGGAACAAUGUCAAGAGCAUUAAAGAAGAAAAGUAAAUGUGUGUAGUUUCUUCCACUUUUAUCUUUAGAAUUUACUUGUGGAUUGUGUCUUUAAUUUUAUGGGUGAUUGUUUGCCAUUUUUUAUUUUUUUUUCAGUAAUCAAAAUGUACAAGUUAAUGGCAAUGAACUUUUGGGACUGUUUUCUUUAAGUAGUUUCAAAAAUAUUUAUAAGUCGUCGUCGUAAAAACAAUUACAUUAGCACAAUGAACUCCACGUUCAAGAGAACGUCCAGAACAAGCCCCCCAGGGCACUUCUCCACUGGCAAAGGACGGACGCUGUCAAACCUGGCAGAGCAGAGGUCGUGAGUUCGAAACAUGGGGCUCUUGGAAGGCAAGAAUUUAUUCUUGGAAGGCAAGGGAACAUUUGGAAGGCAAGGAUUUAUUCUUGGAAGGCAAGUGGGAACUUGGAAGGCAAGGAUUAUUCUUGGAAGGUAAGGUGCAACUUGGAUUGACUUGCUUGGCACUUUGUCAGACCAGGUGGGGAGCGCUCGGACCCUGGCCAGUUGGAGGCACAUCCUGCGAUUAACCGGACUGUGUGAAGAGGGGCCGGAUCACAGACCCAAGAAUUAGUCUAGAAUAGGACACCUUGUAAAAAAAAAAAAA
This 2439-nucleotide long non-coding RNA is filed under the name Olea europaea (common olive). Its description in RNAcentral is "long non-coding RNA (OEUR_LNC004188)". The record is from RNAcentral. Lineage: Eukaryota; Viridiplantae; Streptophyta; Magnoliopsida; Lamiales; Oleaceae.